Molecule: long non-coding RNA, 562 nt
Filed under: Homo sapiens (human)
Lineage: Eukaryota; Metazoa; Chordata; Mammalia; Primates; Hominidae
Description: novel transcript
Source: RNAcentral
AUUGCCUCCACAGCUCAAAACUAUACAUUCUCUAAUUCUAAGACUUAUUUUUAUUAUUUUUAAAUACUAAUUUGUUCAUACAAUGGAUAUCCAGGUGGUACUGUUCUUAAGAGGAUUUUAAAGAAGAAAUCUAUGCGAAAACAAUACACAGUUCUGGCCAAAAGAAGUUAAAACAAAUGUGAAAAAUAAGCGACAUCCAGAAACUUCAGCAGCUCCCUUCUGUCCUAUGCCUCAAGGUACCAGAGAGGGAAAAAGACCCCCAGGAGAGGCUGUGAGGAAACCUGAACUGCAAACCCACCACGAUGUCUUCCUGGGAAAGGCAAGUUGGUAAAGAAAGAUGUGAACUCUAUUUCAGGGUAGUAUGUUUUUUUCAUUUGCUUCCAAGACUUUGAUGGAAUGACUUGAGAGGAAAAGUUCACAAUUACUAGAAAGAACCUAAAAGGACAUGAGAGAUGAAACCGUUGCAGUAUUUUUGAAAUAAAUGUUUUCCUGCAAGAGCAGAGUCAUGGGCGGGGUGUCUGUGUAAUAUCUACUCAACACAGCCGAAGGGUAAGAGGAAAUC